CUUUGACCUACGGCAACCCUAUGAAAGAAAGACCUCCAAAAUAUCCAGUCCAUGACAGGUCCAGAUGGCUUUCUUUAUGGAUUCAAUGCAUCUCAUAUUUGGUCUUCCCUUUUGUCUUCUGCCUUUGAUUUUCCCGUAACACAUGUUAUUGUGUUCUCUGAGCUCAUGACCAGUGUUUUGGAAGUUGGCAGGUGACUUCUUGCUGUACAGCACCAGGCAAGUCAAAUUCCUCACUGAAAGGGGUAUAAGCCAUUCAAGAGGACCCUCUCAGUGGUGCAG
This is a long non-coding RNA of Varanus komodoensis (Komodo dragon), 279 nucleotides long. RefSeq lists it as uncharacterized. The transcript has 3 exons. Lineage: Eukaryota; Metazoa; Chordata; Lepidosauria; Squamata; Varanidae. The record is from RefSeq and is a predicted model, not a curated record.